GAGGGAAUAUUGCGCAAUGGGCGAAAGCCUGACGCAGCGACGCCGCGUUAGCGAUGAAGGUCUUCGGAUCGUAAAGCUAUGUCACAGAGGAGGAUGUCCGCCAUUAAAGUGGCGGAUGACAGUACUCUGGGAGGAAGCCACGGCUAACUCCGUGCCAGCAGCCGCGGUAAUACGGAGGUGGCGAGCGUUACUCGGAUUCAUUGGGCGUAAAGGGCGUGUAGGCGUUUCGAUAAGCUUUGGGUGAAAUACUCCGACUCAAUCGGAGAACUGCCUAAAAGACUGUCGAGAUUGAGGCUAGGAGAGGAGAGUGGAAUUCCCGGUGUAAGGGUAAAAUCUGCAGAUAUCGGGAGGAACACCUGUGGCGAAGGCGGCUCUCUGGACUAGUACUGACGCUGAGGCGCGAAAGCUAGGGGAGCAAACAGG
This 423-nucleotide ribosomal RNA is filed under the name uncultured bacterium. RNAcentral describes it as "bacterial SSU rRNA". It matches the Rfam family "Bacterial small subunit ribosomal RNA", at positions 355 to 776 of the family's 1533-position model. The record is from RNAcentral.